Molecule: long non-coding RNA, 513 nt
Organism: Hemiscyllium ocellatum (epaulette shark)
Lineage: Eukaryota; Metazoa; Chordata; Chondrichthyes; Orectolobiformes; Hemiscylliidae
Exons: 3
Source: RefSeq, a predicted model, not a curated record
AGACCUUUAUAAACAUUGUGUCGGAAGGCCGGGUUGCCAGGGAUGUCUGUGAUAUAUACACUGCUUUAUUGUUCGGUUUAUCGGGCUGUCUUUAUGAAUGCAUUUACUGUUUCCUUUUUGAUUUAAUAAGUUUUAUCUUCACAGAAUCUACCUGAUGCUCUUACUAAGGAAUGGAUAAAUUACAAAGAAAAAUCUAGAAACCACGCACCAGGAAGUCCAACGCCUGUGGUGGUCAUGUCCUCACAACCACCUGAUGAAGGAGCAGCACUCUGAAAGCUACUGCUUCCAAACAUACCUGUUGGACUAUAACCUGGUGUGUGAUUUUUUUAAAACUUAGAACUCCAGGGAAAGUGUGUGUGGGGAGGGGUGUCUCAAAACCUAGAGGGCCCCCCGUGCUUGCUGUGACCUCCUGGUUAGACAGAACUUCUGUGUUUAUCUUCACUAAAACAAGCACGUUUGAAAACUCGCCUCCUUUCAGCUCUGGAGACUUCAAAAGCACUGUCAAGAACGUGG